UACGGAGGGUGCAAGCGUUGUUCGGCAUUAUUGGGCGUAAAGCGCGUGUAGGCGGUCUGUUAAGUCUGAUGUGAAAGCCCCGGGCUCAACCCGGGAAGUGCAUUGGAAACUGGCAGACUUGAGUACGGGAGAGGGUAGUGGAAUUCCGAGUGUAGGGGUGAAAUCCGUAGAUAUUCGGAGGAACACCGGUGGCGAAGGCGGCUACCUGGACCGAUACUGACGCUGAGACGCGAAAGCGUGGGGAG
This 245-nucleotide ribosomal RNA is filed under the name uncultured Pelobacter sp. RNAcentral's name for it is "partial 16S ribosomal RNA". It matches the Rfam family "Bacterial small subunit ribosomal RNA", at positions 524 to 768 of the family's 1533-position model. Lineage: Bacteria; Pseudomonadati; Thermodesulfobacteriota; Desulfuromonadia; Desulfuromonadales; Desulfuromonadaceae. The record is from RNAcentral.